AUUAUAAGCCAAGGAGCAUUUGUACUAAAAUUGGAAUGAUAGCAUAUUAACAUGGUCCCUGCACAAAGAUGACAUGAAAAUUUGUGAAGCUUUCCAUAUUUUU
Molecule: small nuclear RNA, 103 nt
Organism: Theropithecus gelada (gelada)
Lineage: Eukaryota; Metazoa; Chordata; Mammalia; Primates; Cercopithecidae
Source: Ensembl